GGUUCAGGACGAACGCUGGCGGCGUGCUUCAUACAUGCAAGUCGAACGAUAAGGCACCUUCGGGUGUACAUAAGUGGCGGACGGGUGAGUAAUAUGUAGAGAAUCUGCCCUAGAGAGUGGGACAACAGUUGGAAACGACUGCUAAUACCGCAUAUGAGCGUACCUGAAAUGGUAUUCUUGAAAACUCCGGUGCUCUGGGAUGAGUCUGCAUCUGAUUAGCUAGUUGGGGGUGUAAUGGACCACCAAGGCGACGAUCAGUAGCUGGUUUGAGAGGAUGAUCAGCCACAAUGGGACUGAGACACGGCCCAUACUCCUACGGGAGGCAGCAGUAGGGAAUUUUGCGCAAUGGGGGAAACCCUGACGCCAGCAACGCCGCGUGACCGAUGAAGCCCUUCGGGGUGUAAAGGUCUGUCAGUGGGGACGAAUAUUGACGGUACCCACAGAGGAAGCAUCGGCUAACUCCGUGCCAGCCGCUGC
RNAcentral lists this ribosomal RNA (477 nucleotides) under uncultured bacterium. RNAcentral describes it as "bacterial SSU rRNA". It matches the Rfam family "Bacterial small subunit ribosomal RNA", at positions 21 to 518 of the family's 1533-position model. The record is from RNAcentral.